RNAcentral lists this ribosomal RNA (738 nucleotides) under uncultured marine bacterium. RNAcentral's name for it is "bacterial SSU rRNA". It matches the Rfam family "Bacterial small subunit ribosomal RNA", at positions 9 to 795 of the family's 1533-position model. The record is from RNAcentral.
GAGUUUGAUCCUGGCUCACAACGAACGCUGGCGGCAGGCUUAACACAUGCAAGUCGACCGCACCUGCGGGUGAGCGGCGGACGGGUGAGUAACGCGUGGGAAUAUGCCUCUUGGUACGGAAUAGCCACUGGAAACGGAGAGUAAUACCGUAUGUGCCCUUUGGGGGAAAGAUUUAUCGCCAAGAGAUUAGCCCGCGUUGGAUUAGGUAGUUGGUGGGGUAAUGGCCUACCAAGCCGACGAUCCAUAGCUGGUUUGAGAGGAUGAUCAGCCACACUGGGACUGAGACACGGCCCAGACUCCUACGGGAGGCAGCAGUGGGGAAUCUUAGACAAUGGGGGCAACCCUGAUCUAGCCAUGCCGCGUGUGUGAUGAAGGCCCUAGGGUCGUAAAGCACUUUCGCCUGUGAUGAUAAUGACAGUAGCAGGUAAAGAAACCCCGGCUAACUCCGUGCCAGCAGCCGCGGUAAUACGGAGGGGGUUAGCGUUGUUCGGAAUUACUGGGCGUAAAGCGCGCGUAGGCGGAUUAGUCAGUCAGAGGUGAAAUCCCAGGGCUCAACCCUGGAACUGCCUUUGAUACUGCUAGUCUUGAGUUCGAGAGAGGUGAGUGGAAUUCCGAGUGUAGAGGUGAAAUUCGUAGAUAUUCGGAGGAACACCAGUGGCGAAGGCGGCUCACUGGCUCGAUACUGACGCUGAGGUGCGAAAGUGUGGGGAGCAAACAGGAUUAGAUACCCUGGUAGUC